GACGAACGCUGGCGGCGUGCUUAACACAUGCAAGUCGAACGGAAAGGCCCUGCUUUUGUGGGGUGCUCGAAUGGCGAACGGGUGAGUAACACGUGAGUAACCUGCCCUUGACUUUGGGAUAACUUCAGGAAACUGGGGCUAAUACCGGAUAGGAGCUCCUGCUGCAUGGUGGGGGUUGGAAAGUUUCGGCGGUUGGGGAUGGACUCGCGGCCUAUCAGCUUGUUGGUGUGGUAGUGGCUUACCAAGGCUUUGACGGGUAGCCGGGCUGAUAGGGUGACCGGCCACAUUGGGACUGAGAUACGGCCCAGACUCCUACGGGAGGCAGCAGUGGAGAAUUUUGCACAAUGGGCGGAAGCCUGAUGCAGCAACGCCGCGUGCGGGAUGACGGCCUUCGGGUUGUAAACCGCUUUCGCCUGUGACGAAGCGUGAGUGACGGUAAUGGGUAAAGAAGCACCGGCUAACUACGUG
Molecule: ribosomal RNA, 468 nt
Filed under: uncultured bacterium
Lineage: Bacteria
Description: partial 16S ribosomal RNA
Rfam family: Bacterial small subunit ribosomal RNA
Source: RNAcentral